Molecule: non-coding RNA, 982 nt
Organism: Salmo salar (Atlantic salmon)
Lineage: Eukaryota; Metazoa; Chordata; Actinopteri; Salmoniformes; Salmonidae
Source: RefSeq, a predicted model, not a curated record
GUGUGUGUGUGUGUGUGUGUGACGUCUGGCCUCCUUAAUGAACUGUUUACUGUUUCAUUAGAAUGGUGGCCGUCUGGCAGAGACAAUUGAGAAUGUCUGCCAUUCAGAGGGUGAAUGGGCAAGACAAAAGAUUAAAGUGAGUGGGGUAUGGUAGUGGGUGUCAUGCGCACUGGUUUCUGUCAAGAACCGCAACGCUGCUGGGUUUUUCACACUGAACAGUUUCUUCUUUGUCUCAAGAAUGGUCCACCACCCAAAAGACAUCCAGCCAACUUGACACAACUGUGGGAAGCAUUGGAGUCAACAUGGGCCAGCAUCCCUGUGGAACGCUUUCGACACCUUGUAGAGUCCAUGCCCUGACGAAUUGAGACUGAUCUGAGGACAAAAGCACCACACAUCACUGUCAGCCAGAAUGGAAGGGGGAGUUUUCAUAGUCACACGUCAAUGACUAUCACCACAGAACAUCUGGGUAGAUUGAUACUCUUGUGAAAGCAGCCCCGCUCCAGAGGGGGGGGGUCAUCAAAGCAACAACAUGACACUGAUAGAGCAUCGUCAUCUGGUCGUCCCCCCCCCUCCCCCCUCCCAGACACCGACAGACACGCUCAGUGUUUAUCUGCUCCUGACAGGCCCUCUUGUCUGAUGAGUCGGUGUGUAAUUGAGUGGCUUUUAUCCAUCUAGAGCCGUGAUUGGAGGGAAUUACAGGAGUCAGUCGUCCAAUCACUAGACCUGACUGGCUGCCCAUCUAUCUGUUUGUCAGGGUCGUGUUCAGCAGGGAACCGUUUGUGUAAUUAAUGCUCGGAUAAGCUUAUUUACUAUUAGGUAUUGAUUGAUUUUUCCCUCUUUAUGCGGUGCGAGCUGCACACCACACCGGAAGAAUUAUCACAGUGAAUUAUUUGAAUGUUUGUUUAUGUGUCAAUUAAUCCCGUAAGGGAUGGGCUGCCAACGGUUGAUUUGACAGGAAAAUAAAAUGUCACUCAUUCAUUCA